CCCAUUCCCGAUCACCCGGUUGGAUCCAUCAUCGGACCCCAAGAGGAGUCCGCGCAGCCCAGCCGGCAUCCCGAAACUCCUCCUUCAGCGGGAACCGAAGCAGAAGAGCGAUCAAGGAGGUCCUCACCACAGGACUCCUAUGGGUCCGACCCUGGGUCUCCCGCAGGCCCCUCUGGCAGUCCUCUUCCCACCCGCCGCCUCUGGCUGUGCCGCCGCCGCCGCCGACGCAACCUCCAGCACCGCCGCCCCAGGCCCCGCAGCCGCCGCGUCGCCGCCAUUUUUUAAAGGGUCCGCAGCCUGACUCUGCGGAGUAAGGGGGGGUGGAGCGGGGGAGUCGGCCUCGCCAGUGCGCAUGCGCGAGGCCCGAGCCGCCGCUUGGGCCACAGUGAAAGCCACCGUUGCCCGGGGAUGGGUCCCUGACACUUGGCGAAGUAGCAGCCCUGUGUGAUCGUGCGUCUGAGUCUGGGCUGAGACCAGUCCUGGCCAGGGUAGUUACCAGGACGGUCUCCGGAGGCCGGGAUUCGCGGAGGGUCCACCAGCAGGAAGAAACCCCAGGAGGAAGAAACCUCAGACAGAUCGCCGGCGAGGCAGCGCGGGAUCCCAGCCUCAGGCGUGCGCGGACGGUGUGCGGCGCACACAACCAAGCUUAGGAGCCGACUGUUAAGAUGCCCCAGUGACACGGACAAGUUUCUCCUCUGCAACCCAAUGAGAGCUGCUGACCACGAGAGCAUCGCGGGACCGCCAAAGGAUUCUGGAAAAUGUGGUCCCGGGUGGCCAGUGUGCGCUGACCUUCACCUGAAGGUACGGCUUGAAGGAAACUUCUGGAGGGUGGGGUGGUGUUGAAGAGAAGGCACAAUUGUCACCAUUUUGUUCAACAUGGGCGUUUUCUUUGUGCAUUGAUUUGCAUUUUUAAAGAGUCUCGCUCCGUCACCCAGGCUGGAGUGCAAUGGCAAGAUCUCAGCUCACUGAAGCCUCCACCUUCCGGGUUCAAGCGAUUCUCCUGCCUCAGCCUCCCAAGUAGCUGGGAUUACAGGCGUGUGCCACCAUACCCGGCUAAUUUUUGUAUUUUUAGUAGAGACGGGGUUUCGCCAUGUUGGCCAGCCUGGUCUCAAACUCCUGACCUCAGGUGAUACCCCCACCUCAGUCUCCCAAAGUGCUGGGAUUACAGGUGUGAGCCACCAGGCCCGGCCAAGCUGAACAGUUCUAAGCUGUUAGGAUCAUUGCCUCUAUUAUCACCAUGACAUCAGGUCACCACCAAACCGUCAAGUGCUAAACAGACAGAAUGUUUCCACUCCUGAUCCACUGUGUGGAGAAGCA
RNAcentral lists this long non-coding RNA (1317 nucleotides) under Homo sapiens (human). RNAcentral's name for it is "HSALNT0397783". Lineage: Eukaryota; Metazoa; Chordata; Mammalia; Primates; Hominidae. The record is from RNAcentral.